AAAGGUAAGCUACUAAGAGCGAAUGGUGGAUGCCUUGACUGGUAAAGGCGAUGAAGGACGUACUAGACUGCGAUAAGCUACGGGGAGCUGUCAAGAAGCUUUGAUCCGUAGAUUUCCGAAUGGGGCAACCCAAUGUAUAGAGAUAUACAUUACCUAUAUAGGAGCGAACGAGGGGAAUUGAAACAUCUUAGUACCCUCAGGAAAAGAAAUCAAUAGAGAUUGCGUCAGUAGCGGCGAGCGAAAGCGCAAGAGGGCAAACCCAGUGCUUGCACUGGGGGUUGUAGGACUGCAAUGUGCAAGAGGUGAGUUUAGCAGAACAUUCUGGAAAGUAUAGCCAUAGAGGGUGAUAGUCCCGUAUGCGAAAAACAAACCUUAGCUAGCAGUAUCCUGAGUAGGGCGGGACACGAGAAAUCCUGUCUGAAGCUGGGUCGACCACGAUCCAACCCUAAAUACUAAUACCAGAUCGAUAGUGCACAAGUACCGUGAGGGAAAGGUGAAAAGAACUGAGGUGAUCAGAGUGAAAUAGAACCUGAAACCAUUUGCUUACAAUCAUUCAGAGCCCUAUGUAGCAAUACAGGGUGAUGGACUGCCUUUUGCAUAAUGAGCCUGCGAGUUGUGGUGUCUGGCAAGGUUAAGCAAACGCGAAGCCGUAGCGAAAGCGAGUCUGAAUAGGGCGCUUAGUCAGAUGCUGCAGACCCGAAACGAAGUGAUCUAUCCAUGAGCAAGUUGAAGCUAGUGUAAGAACUAGUGGAGGACUGAACCCAUAGGCGUUGAAAAGCCCCGGGAUGACUUGUGGAUAGGGGUGAAAGGCCAAUCAAACUUCGUGAUAGCUGGUUCUCUCCG
RNAcentral lists this ribosomal RNA (843 nucleotides) under Campylobacter coli. RNAcentral's name for it is "partial 23S ribosomal RNA". It matches the Rfam family "Bacterial large subunit ribosomal RNA", at positions 1 to 861 of the family's 2925-position model. The record is from RNAcentral. Lineage: Bacteria; Pseudomonadati; Campylobacterota; Epsilonproteobacteria; Campylobacterales; Campylobacteraceae.